This 374-nucleotide ribosomal RNA is filed under the name uncultured Glomeromycotina. RNAcentral's name for it is "SSU rRNA". It matches the Rfam family "Eukaryotic small subunit ribosomal RNA", at positions 569 to 947 of the family's 1831-position model. The record is from RNAcentral. Lineage: Eukaryota; Fungi; Glomeromycota.
AGCAGCCGCGGUAAUUCCAGCUCCAAUAGCGUAUAUUAAAGUUGUUGCAGUUAAAAAGCUCGUAGUUGAAUUUCGGGAUCAAUACGUCGGUCGUGCUUCGGUACGUACUGGCGUAAUUGAUUUCUCCCUUCUGACGAACCAUGAUGUCAUUAACUUGGUGUCAUGGGAAAUCAGGACUGUUACUUUGAAAAAAUUAGAGUGUUUAAAGCAAGCUAACGCUUGAAUACAUUAGCAUGGAAUAAUGAAAUAGGACGUUCGAUCCUAUUUUGUUGGUUUCUAGGACUGACGUAAUGAUUAAUAGGGAUAGUUGGGGGCAUUAGUAUCCAAUUGUCAGAGGUGAAAUUCUUGGAUUUUAUUGAAGACUAACUACUGCG